Molecule: ribosomal RNA, 387 nt
Filed under: uncultured eukaryote
Lineage: Eukaryota
Description: SSU rRNA
Rfam family: Eukaryotic small subunit ribosomal RNA
Source: RNAcentral
AGCCUCUACAAGCAUAUGCAAAAGUUGCUGCGUUUAAAAAGCUCAUAGUUGGAUCUGUUGACUGAGUUGCAUAGACUGUUAGCUCUCUUCGGAGGCUUUCAGGUGACUUGGUCUCCUACCCGUUGCGAGUUUUUGCACUUAACUGUGUCGAAUUCUCAAGACGGAGCAUUUACUUUGAAUAAAUUAGAGUGUUCAAAGCAUCCUUUGGGAAUGAAUAAUAAAGCAUGGAAUAAUGGAGGAAGACCCGCUCUUCAGUGUUUGGUUAGCGAAGAUGCGGUAAUGAUUAAAAGGAACAGUCGGGGGCAUUCAUAUUGCUACGUUAGAGGUGAAAUUCUUGGAUCGUGGCAAGAUGAACUACUGCGAAAGCAUUUGCCAAGAAUGUUUUCA